CACGCCGUAAACGAUGGGCACUAGAUGUGGGCGGUGUCGACUCCGUCCGUGUCGCAGCUAACGCACUAAGUGCCCCGCCUGGGGAGUACGGCCGCAAGGCUAAAACUCAAAGGAAUUGACGGGGGCCCGCACAAGCAGCGGAGCAUGUGGUUUAAUUCGACGCAACGCGAAGAACCUUACCUGGGCUUGACAUGUGAGUGAAAGCCAUAGAGAUAUGGUCCCUCUUCGGAGCACUUUCACAGGUGG
Molecule: ribosomal RNA, 246 nt
Filed under: uncultured bacterium
Lineage: Bacteria
Description: partial 16S ribosomal RNA
Rfam family: Bacterial small subunit ribosomal RNA
Source: RNAcentral